UUUAUCGGAGAGUUUGAUCCUGGCUCAGGACGAACGCUGGCGGCGUGCCUAAUACAUGCAAGUCGAGCGGACAGAUGGGAGCUUGCUCCCUGA
RNAcentral lists this ribosomal RNA (93 nucleotides) under Bacillus subtilis. RNAcentral's name for it is "partial 16S ribosomal RNA". It matches the Rfam family "Bacterial small subunit ribosomal RNA", at positions 1 to 90 of the family's 1533-position model. Lineage: Bacteria; Bacillati; Bacillota; Bacilli; Caryophanales; Bacillaceae. The record is from RNAcentral.